AAUUGUAAUUGUAUUUUGAAUACGUUUUGUUUUUGGGCCCAAUAUUGUGUGCUAUGUUUUAUUCGUAAGGCCCGUACGAAAUUUUCCAGAGACCCAUUAUUUUUAGGUUUUCUUCCAGAUAGGUGGACCACUUACGAACUAGAGUCGGCGUGUCUCUUUGAAUCUUAUCACCUCCGAUAACGCUACUGUAAGGACUACAGUUUCUGUCCUCCGUCGUAUUAAAGCAACCAUUAAAGUGAUUCACCCCUACACAAUCAGAUAAAAUCAACUCUCUCAACGACGAACUUCAGCGAUGGUGAAUUCGUGCAUCCUUCUUGCCGAAUUGAAAGCUGUGUGUUGUACAAACAUUGCGGAGGUUCUGAUGCUUACGUUCUGGGAGGCAAGACAUAUCAAAAAAGGAGGCAAGCUUAUGGGAGUCGACAUGCUCCUGCUAGACGAAAAGUCUAUGCUUAUUGAAGGAUCAGUCAAUGUCAACCGUCACUUGCCGACACCUUUUCAGUCCAUAGGUGGUUUGACGUGUAACACGGAGCAACAACAAUUUCCUCCUGUCUGACUCGCCUAUCUCCGUCAGCUUUAAUAAUGGAACGUUAUUUUCAGAAGUAAUGGAGCGGACCGGUCGAAACUGAUACCAACCGAGCACUUCGGAUUCUGUAACCAUGAACAGCUUCUGUCCUUGGCAAAUACCAACAGACAGCUACCUUAUAGCUUACGAAUCUAACUACGUUAUCAACAGACCUCUACUUUUAAAGUUGGAAGACAUCCUAGGUAAGCUCAGUGCAAUCAGACGAUGCUACACAUGGGGCACAUCGGGUAUUGGGUACACUACAUAUAGAAAGGGAUGUGACUGUGUGUGUUAGUCCCUUUGAUGGCAUAGCCAAAAGUUGUGCUGGUCACUAGCAUUAAUCCCAAAAUAGUUGGAGAUAAGCUGACUAUUCCAUACUUCUAAUACAUUUAUAACUCUAUGAACAAGCAUACUAUGAAAGACUGACUUUCAAACAAUGAAAGCAUUCCAUUGACUAACAAUCCAUUAUGCAGGCCGACUAUCUCUACUUGACUCUGAGACAUCUACUGGAAAAGAAUAGUAUGAAAAGUUUGUUGGUGAUGGGACAAACCAGACUACCUCUUCAUCAAAGCUUCUUCAUGUCCACAAAAAUUGAAACUCACGGUUUCUGAGCCCAACCAAUACGUUAUCACAUCUGAGCUUCAGAUGAUUGAGUUCCUCUGUGCCACCAAAGUAACUAGAAUUCAGGCAGAGAAAGAAUGGUGUUAUAUUGGUUGCUGGAAAUGUUCCAAGAAGCUCCAGCGGGAAAUCUCUUCUUUUACAUGCAUCGUAUUUGAUAAAACCAACGAUGUGGGUGUCCUCAGGUAUCGUGUAGAGCUUUCAGUAUCAGACAAAGCGGAUGAUGCUGUCUGCCUUGCGUGGAAUGCUCAAAUCCCCACUACAGUUACCUAUCUUUUUAAAUCGUUACUACAUUUGCUUAUCAACUUUUGUUUUAGCUACUCUUUCUAUUUAAGUUAAACUCAAUGUACUGGUGGAUGUUUGAUAUUUUAACAUUUUCUUUAAGACUCAAUUUGUCUACCUAUUUGUGCUGUGGCUGGACCCAUCAUGUUAACUUUGUAGUAUCUCAGCCAGAUUUGCAGAUUAAAUCAUAUUCAUCUAAUAAAAAAAUUUAUGACAAAAAUAUGUAUAUCAUGGAUAUCAUAUUAGCGAAAAAUAAAGUGACACACGGCACGGGAUCGAUCAGCUAUGUAGACAUCCAUAAUUUCCCUGCAUAGACUGACAAUAAAAGUUUAAAAAGCUCACAAUUUAUUUCCAUAAAAAAACAUGAACACAUGUGUAUCAUUGACAUCUUAUUAUGACAUUUUGUAUGAAAAUAUCUAAAACCAGUACAUGUUAUAUGACUCCAUCCAAGCAACAAGUGUCUUUAACCAAUUGAGGUAGAUUAAGUUAAACACUCAUUAUGACUCCCUUCUGUUCCAGGACUAACAUAGUAGCUAUCUCUCACCUUCCAUUACAUUCAAGAUUUAAAAACCAUUAACGAUUGCAGGGGAGCCUAUACGGCUAUCCCAUGUUCCUUCGCCAACGUUAAAUGCAAAGGAGCUUAUACAUUCAUGCAUUGCUCUUGAUUCAUUUUUUCCCAUGAACUUUUCCUUUUGUUUUACACUUGCACUAUUGUUUCUGUUUUUCCUUUUAUCGUUUGUUUCUGUUUACACCUUGAACAUAUAUUGCAAGUUUUACUCAUUAUGCCAAAAAAAAAUUCCAACCUAAGCAAGCCAUGAGUCAGCAAGUAAAGAAACCUUAAACGGUUACACAAAUGCAUAAAAAGACUAUCGACUUUACACCAAAAAAAGACUAUCGGGGCGGUUGUCCUGUUUGCUGGCAUUUCAUCAUAUUUUUAUUUUGUUUUUUUUUCUGUGCUCUUCCUAGCGUAUAAAUUACGUCAGCCAUAGCUUAGCAGCCAAUAUCUGUUCUUUUAAUCCGAGCAGCUAAACGUGGUGACAGACCGGACAGCUAAACGUUUACAAACAAAUAACUCCAAAACAUGGCUACAUCAACAACAUAAAAAUAACACCAAAAUACAACCGCCCCGCCCGCAGGGCGGGGAUGCCACUAGUUUAGAAUAUUGUGAAUUUACUAUGCAACAAAAGUACUAUUUGACUAAUGUGAAAUGCUUUCUCGCAGGUAAGUGGAGUGGUGUUUGAUCGUAUUGAUUGGCACCAAAUUGAGGUGGGUUUGGUGAAAGUGACAUGUAUCAGUUUUAUUCUGGUGGUCAUGAUUUACUUUUCUGGGACCUAGAAGUGGAUGAAAUUGUUGUUCCACUUCGAAGACUUCUAUGAGGAUCACCCACUUACAGCACGGGUACUCAGUCCACUCACCGGGACAACAUCAUUUCCAAUGUUCACUCUUCAGCCAGCACCAUGCAUGGGUGAAGUCCCUAAGCUUUCACUCUGAGCCCCUCAUAACUCACAAAAUUUCUAUGACAUUUUUUCAUCUUUUGUUAUACAUUUUGUUGUAUUUAGUUCAGUUUGGUAUUAGAACUCAAUGAUUCUAAAGUCAAAACAAAGUUUAACUCAGUUGUAAAUUUUACAGUUAUUUUAUACAAAACCAAUUUUUUUUUUUAAAGUAUUUAAAUCAUAACCAGGUUUACUUGGGUUUUACUCA
Molecule: long non-coding RNA, 3163 nt
Organism: Brassica rapa (field mustard)
Lineage: Eukaryota; Viridiplantae; Streptophyta; Magnoliopsida; Brassicales; Brassicaceae
Source: RefSeq, a predicted model, not a curated record